GUGAAUCAUCAAAUCUUUGAACGCAAAUUGCACUCUCCUCGGAGAGUAUGCCUGUUUGAGGUUCAGCCUCUAAAAAUCGACAUCGUUGCUGUUUCGCGGUGGCGUUCGUCGGAAAUUGGGUCAUCUUAAAUCCUUUUGAUUUACGCGACUUAACUUUUUCGUUUGUUUCUAUGAUCGUUUCUUGGAUCUUUUUCUUUCUACU
RNAcentral lists this unclassified non-coding RNA (202 nucleotides) under Glomus sp. Its description in RNAcentral is "partial contains 5.8S ribosomal RNA and internal transcribed spacer 2". The stretch from base 1 to 65 matches the Rfam family "5.8S ribosomal RNA", at positions 84 to 154 of the family's 154-position model. The record is from RNAcentral. Lineage: Eukaryota; Fungi; Glomeromycota; Glomeromycetes; Glomerales; Glomeraceae.